RNAcentral lists this long non-coding RNA (1085 nucleotides) under Musa acuminata (dwarf banana). RNAcentral describes it as "long non-coding RNA (MACU_LNC002194)". Lineage: Eukaryota; Viridiplantae; Streptophyta; Magnoliopsida; Zingiberales; Musaceae. The record is from RNAcentral.
AGCGGAACUCGCUUCCGAACCCCCUCGACUGCUGCAACGUCUGUGCAAAUGCCUGGUACUUGCGAAUGUCUGCGUCACUCACACUCCUGCGGGCAAACUUCAUCGAUUCCUCAAAAUGAGUAGCCUUGAUCUCUGCUACUUCAUCAGCCUCGUCUUCCUCCAUCGCCUCAGGAUUUUCACUCUUCUUCCUCUCUCUUUCAAUAUCCUGCAUGUUAGGAUAGAGAAAGCCAUUUUAAGCCUGAGAGUUUGGCCUAAUCAAUUUAGAAAAUUUUGUAGCAUCCGCAAGCAAUUAUAAUAUGAUGAAGAUAGUUGAUAUUCAUGCUGUCAAAGUGCUGGAGGUGGGCCUCUGUAGUGUAACAAGAGUUAUUUAACAAGACUUAAGGAGCUAAUAAGAACUAUAAGGCGAACGUAGAUAAAUGAUAUCAAGACACAGGUUUAUCUUUCUUGUAUAACAUGCACAAUUUGCAUCUUGACUAAUGAGAUCACAUAUGCAACAAAAUAAAUGUAUAUAUUACUUAGCAUCAGAGACAGAAUAAUAAGAUGAAAAUGGUAAUAUUUCUGAGACGUAUGACUUAGUAAACUAUUGAAUUAUCAAGUGGAUAUCCAAUACUUCCUCAAAAAAAGAGGAAAAAGUCAAUGCCCGAUACAUUCAGGCAGCCAUGCAGAUUUUCCAGGAGCCUACCGAAAAGAACUAUUAUUGCAGUUAAACUACUUUAAAAUACAGUCCCAGAAAUAUCUAAAAUGCUCAAGGUAUAUUAUAUUGAACCAAAGGAAAAGAAGAGACAAAUGAUGAUGCGCAGAAGCCUACCUUUUCAAUGUUUUCUCUAAUGGCAUACUUGCAUGCACGUUGGCAAAUUUCUGUAAUAUCGGCACCACUAAAUCCUUGAGUGUACUUGGCAAGAGCCCUCAGGUCAACAUCUUUCGAUACAGGAGACUUUCUCAGGCAAGCUUUGAAUAUUUGGUGACGAGAGGCCUCGUCUGGUAAAGGAAUAUAAAUCAAUUGGUCCAGACGGCCUGGGCGAAGUAAAGCAGGAUCUAUGAUGUCAGGCCUGUUGGUUGCCCCGAUAAUAAAGACGGUUUUCUUU